This is a small nuclear RNA of Schistocerca gregaria, 108 nucleotides long. The record is from RefSeq and is a predicted model, not a curated record. NCBI's taxonomy places the organism in Eukaryota, Metazoa, Arthropoda, Insecta, Orthoptera, Acrididae.
GUGCUUGCUUUGGCGGUACAUACGCUAAAAUUGGAGCGAUACAAAAGAAGAUGAGCAUGCCCCCUGAGCAAGGAUGACACACAAAACAGUGAAGCUUGGAAAAAUGGU